AAACUGCGAUAAGUAGUGUGAAUUGCAUUUAGUGAAUCAUCGAAUCUUUGAACGCACCCUGCACUCACUGGUAUUCCGGUGAGUACGCCUGUUUCAGUAUCAUUGAAAACACACAAUCAAAACAUUUUCUUUGGUUUGAUUGGCUUUGGGUCUAUCAAAAAGUUUGGCUUGUUUCUUACAAGCCAAGCGGCCUGAAAUAUAUUGUCUGGCUAAUUGCAUCGUUGAUGAUCGCUAUUAGACUUUGGCUUUUUUAAAUGAACUGGAGGUUGAUUAACCAGUUUUAGCUUUAGUCAAAUGGUCAUUGUAAAAAAAAUCUCGAUCUUGGCUAGGUGUUUAUAGCCGAAAAUUUUUUUUUGGCUAUACCCGAAACCAAUAUAAUCACAUUUAGUUAUCGAUCUGAAAUCAGGUGGGACUACCCGCUGAACUUAAGC
This 431-nucleotide unclassified non-coding RNA is filed under the name plant metagenome. Its description in RNAcentral is "partial contains 5.8S ribosomal RNA, internal transcribed spacer 2, and large subunit ribosomal RNA". The stretch from base 1 to 102 matches the Rfam family "5.8S ribosomal RNA", at positions 50 to 154 of the family's 154-position model. The record is from RNAcentral.